RNAcentral lists this ribosomal RNA (479 nucleotides) under uncultured bacterium. RNAcentral describes it as "bacterial SSU rRNA". It matches the Rfam family "Bacterial small subunit ribosomal RNA", at positions 1 to 478 of the family's 1533-position model. The record is from RNAcentral.
GAUUAGAGUUUGAUCCUGGCUCAGAUUGAACGCUGGCGGCAUGCCUUACACAUGCAAGUCGAACGGCAGCACGGGAGCAAUCCUGGUGGCGAGUGGCGAACGGGUGAGUAAUAUAUCGGAACGUACCUUUCAGUGGGGGAUAACGUAGCGAAAGUUACGCUAAUACCGCAUAUUCUGUGAGCAGGAAAGCAGGGGAUCGCAAGACCUUGCGCUGAUUGAGCGGCCGAUAUCAGAUUAGCUAGUUGGUGAGGUAAAGGCUCACCAAGGCGACGAUCUGUAGCGGGUCUGAGAGGAUGAUCCGCCACACUGGAACUGAGACACGGUCCAGACUCCUACGGGAGGCAGCAGUGGGGAAUUUUGGACAAUGGGGGCAACCCUGAUCCAGCCAUGCCGCGUGAGUGAAGAAGGCCUUCGGGUUGUAAAGCUCUUUCAGCCGGGAAGAAAACGCAUGGGUUAAUACCCUGUGUGGAUGACGGUAC